GGUAGGGAGUUUGCAUUAUUAUAAGAGAUAAUAAAAUAUAUAUACAUGCCUAAAGGUUCAUAUACCAAAGACAAAUAAUUAGAAGCAGAAGAAUGCCUAAUGCAUUACAUGCAAGCUAUAGUCAGUUGAAAUUUGACAAAUUAUGCACACAACUCAAAAUAAAUGAAGAUCAGAUAGGUGAGAAAACAGAGGGUUAAAAGAGCCAAAGAGACUUGUAGAAAAGGACUAUCAGAGAAUGGCAAACAACUAUCAACCAGCCAAGAGACAAUCAACCUUGACUACCAAUCUUUCUGUGGAUCCUUGAGUUGUCACUGAUU
Long non-coding RNA from Ipomoea nil (Japanese morning glory), 317 nucleotides. RefSeq lists it as uncharacterized. NCBI's taxonomy places the organism in Eukaryota, Viridiplantae, Streptophyta, Magnoliopsida, Solanales, Convolvulaceae. The transcript has 3 exons. The record is from RefSeq and is a predicted model, not a curated record.